UUUUUGAUCUGGAUCUGUAAUAUCCUCCAUAUGAAGAACUCAGUGUGCGGAAACUCCCUCUACCAAUGAAGAUCAACAAUUUGUCAGUAUGUUAGAGACUUAGAGAGAUUCCUGGACCAUCAAGAAGAUGAAGAAUAUGAGACUCUAUUAAGUGAUUUGUCCCCGGUCAUGAAGUUAAGAAGUGAUGGAACAAGACACCUGUAUUGGAGAAGCAUGAAAAGAUUUAUAUGAACUGAAGCAAAGUGAAGAAAGUAGAACUAGGAGAGCCCCAUACACAACAACUACAACAGAAUGCCACAGAUGCUGAUGAAUUAAAGUUGAAGGUCACACAAAGGACAACAUAAAGGCACAUGGUGGAUGUGAACAGGCUGCAACACAUUACAGAUGAAGAUUGUGUAAGGAUGUCAUCAGACAAAUGUGUAACUGGAAAAGGAGGUGGGGCAGUCCAAGAGUGAGCUUCUGGACAACCCAAAGACACCCCAUUGUGUUUCAUUGGUAUCAGUGCAAUCUCAAGACAUUUGGAGAAACUCAUCCCCUCCUUCUACAGCCCCCCUCUCCACAUAAGCCGGGUGGAUCCCCUGUGGCCGUGGAUUUAUGAGAUUUCACAGACAAGUUAAUCAGGAUGAAAAGGCAGGAAUCAGUUGCAAUUUGCAACGGUGGUGAGAAUAUCCACAUUGAGGAAAUCCCAGAUCAAUCCAAAGUAGCAAAGCAAAAACAGUACCAAAAUUUGAGAAGGAUAAGAUUAGAGCAAAACACUAAAGCAAAAGAUAGAAUUAUUUUUCUUACACGUUUUAUGUACAUGUGCUUUUUUUGUCCCUUCUAACAAACUAUAGUUUAGAGCU
This is a long non-coding RNA of Vombatus ursinus (common wombat), 842 nucleotides long. RefSeq lists it as uncharacterized. The record is from RefSeq and is a predicted model, not a curated record. The transcript is spliced from 3 exons. NCBI's taxonomy places the organism in Eukaryota, Metazoa, Chordata, Mammalia, Diprotodontia, Vombatidae.